This 74-nucleotide non-coding RNA is filed under the name Pseudomonas sp. GV085. Lineage: Bacteria; Pseudomonadati; Pseudomonadota; Gammaproteobacteria; Pseudomonadales; Pseudomonadaceae. The record is from RNAcentral.
AAAGAUCGCAGCCUGCGGCAGCUCCUACAGAAGAACGCGAUCUGUUGUAGGAGCUGCCGCAGGCUGCGAUCUUU